AUGCAGCCACCGUGCCUGGGCGCGUGCGGGGGCAGCCCCGCCGUCCUGGGCGCCAGUGCGCACUGCCACCGCCCCUCCACCUCCAGGGCUACCAUCCGGUGCGCCGCCCGGGGCGGGAAGGCGUCGUCGAGGGGGAAGGAGAACGUCUGGAGCGUAGACAACGAACGCGCCGCCGAGCAGAAGGGUCGGUCCCAAAAGAACCACCGCGGGCGGAGGCGCCCGGGAGGGCGCAGCAGGGCGCCCCCGCCGCCGGGGAGUAGGAAGGAGAAUGACGCGGGCUCGAGGGUUCUGGUCUCCGGAGCCAUGCUGGUGGAGGUCGAGACCGUGCUCCAGACCCAGGAAUCUGUAUUAAGGCCUUCCUGGGAUACAUUUGCGAGUAGCUUAAGUGGCGUAUGGAAGGGUGUCGGAGCUGUGUUCUCACCAAUCACAGCAGAGAUGGAACCUGUUGGACUAGGAAGCAAACAGGAGUAUCUUUAUGAUUGCUACACUCUUUCUCGCAUUGAGAAGUCGUAUGAUAGUGUUCAUGGGACCGAGAUCCAAAGGAAGACAAAUUGGGUGCAGCUCAAUCCUCAUGGGGAAGCUGAGAAGCAGAGUGCCAGCGAUGAUGAAUGGAGUCAUGGUAUCUCCAGUGGGACUGUUGAUUUACCUGCGCAUGAAUAUUUUGAUCUUAAAAAGAGCGAUGUACUUGAUGAAGAUGUUAUGAUUGAAGAACCAGGGAUUGUAUUUUUUGAGGAUGGAUCAUACUCUAGAGGUCCACUUGAUAUAGAAAUCGGCGAAUAUGAUGAAUCUAAAUACUUCCUCUCACCAACGUAUCAGUUUGAGCAAAGUCUGGUCAAAGGAUGCCACAAAAGACUGCGUAUUGUGCAUACCAUUGAAUUCAAUGAAGGAGGAGCGAAUAUACAAACCGUAAGGGUUGCUGUGUAUGAAGAAAAAUGGGCUAGCCCAGCAAAUAUCCAUGUUGAAGAUAUUACCCCUGUUGACGUCAGACCUUUCUCUCAAAGAAAGCGGACGAAACCAUCAGAAUUGACAGGCCCCUGGAAAGUAUAUGAAGUCAGUGCAACACCAAUUUUCAGUGAGAAAGUAAAAGAAAUAGAGGGUGGAGCCGCCUUUGUAUACUUGUGCAUGGAGACCAUGAAGAAGAGAACCUUGCCAGAGAGCUCUGUUUUCUUCGGGGAGGAGGAGAUGCUCGAUAUGCAAGACGUGACUAUACUUUGGUUGCCUGGAGGCGUCACCGCCUAUGUUGACGUAGAUAAAGAUGGUAUACUCUGCAUCGGAGUUAGUUGGUACUCGGAGGAAGGGAUUAAUCUGGUGAUGGAGAGGGACUAUGGAACUGACGGGAAGCUCAGGGAAGUUCGGACGAAAACUGAAAUCAAGCGCAGAUUGCCGAUACAAUGUUUGCUUAGCUUGAUCGUUGGAGAACAUGGGUGGACCUGGACCAUGGUCAUGCCUCGUGGAGCAGAUGCAGGAAGUCCAGCUUUGGAAGAUGCAACCAAGGAAGAGUGCCUACAAAGAUUACAGAACCGGAUUGAGGUGCCUUAUGAUAGUCAAAAUAGAGAACAUCAGGAAGCACUCAAAGCCCUUUGGCAUGCUUCUUUUCCUGGGACUGAACUUCUAGGACUAGUAUCAGAUCAAUGGAAGGAGAUGGGAUGGCAAGGGAAAGAUCCAUCCACAGAUUUCAGGGGUGGUGGCUUUAUCUCUUUGGAGAAUUUACUUUACUUCGCUAAGAACUAUCCAAAAUCCUUCGAGGAGCUCCUUUGUAAGCAAAAUGGUGACAGAGCAUUAUGGGAAUAUCCAUUUGCUGUAGCUGGAGUAAAUAUUACAUUUAUGCUCAUUCAGAUGCUUGAUCUUCAAGCAGCUAAGCCAAGGUCUUUGAUUGGAGCAGUGUUCCUAAAUCUACUUAUAGAAAACGAUCGAGCUUUUGAUAUUCUUUACUGCAUAACCUUUAAGCUGAUGGAUCGGAAAUGGCUUGAAAUGCACGCCACAUAUAUGGAUUUUAAUACUGUUAUUAAAUCCACACGGCGCCAGCUUGAGAGAGAGCUAUUACUUGAAGAUAUUCAGCAAAUUGAGGACAUGCCGUCAUACGGGUUUCUUGCCCGUUAG
This 2100-nucleotide ribosomal RNA is filed under the name Triticum aestivum (bread wheat). Its description in RNAcentral is "partial small subunit ribosomal RNA". Lineage: Eukaryota; Viridiplantae; Streptophyta; Magnoliopsida; Poales; Poaceae. The record is from RNAcentral.